Molecule: ribosomal RNA, 496 nt
Filed under: uncultured bacterium
Lineage: Bacteria
Description: partial 16S ribosomal RNA
Rfam family: Bacterial small subunit ribosomal RNA
Source: RNAcentral
GAUGAACGCUGGCGGCGUGCCUAAUACAUGCAAGUCGAGCGAACAGACGAGGAGCUUGCUCCUCUGACGUUAGCGGCGGACGGGUGAGUAACACGUGGAUAACCUACCUAUAAGACUGGGAUAACUUCGGGAAACCGGAGCUAAUACCGGAUAAUAUAUUGAACCGCAUGGUUCAAUAGUGAAAGACGGUUUUGCUGUCACUUAUAGAUGGAUCCGCGCCGCAUUAGCUAGUUGGUAAGGUAACGGCUUACCAAGGCAACGAUGCGUAGCCGACCUGAGAGGGGGAUCGGCCACACUGGAACUGAGACACGGUCCAGACUCCGACGGGAGGCAGCAGUAGGGAAUCUUCCGCAAUGGGCGAAAGCCUGACGGAGCAACGCCGCGUGAGUGAUGAAGGUCUUCGGAUCGUAAAACUCUGUUAUUAGGGAAGAACAAAUGUGUAAGUAACUAUGCACGUCUUGACGGUACCGAAGCAGAAAGCCACGGCUAACUACGU